AUACGGAGGGUGCAAGCGUUAUUCGGAAUCACUAGGCGUAAAGGACGCGUAGGCGGGUUGGCAAGUCAGAUGUGAAAUCCUACAGCUUAACUGUAGAACUGCAUUUGAAACUGCUAACCUAGAGUAUGGGAGGGGGAGAUGGAAUUAGUGGUGUAGGGGUAAAAUCCGUAGAUAUCACUAGGAAUACCGAAAGCGAAGGCGAUCUCCUGGAACAUAACUGACGCUAAGGCGUGAAAGCGUGGGGAGCAAACAGGAUUAGAAACCCUAGUAGUCC
Molecule: ribosomal RNA, 274 nt
Filed under: uncultured bacterium
Lineage: Bacteria
Description: partial 16S ribosomal RNA
Rfam family: Bacterial small subunit ribosomal RNA
Source: RNAcentral